Molecule: small RNA, 644 nt
Filed under: Pongo abelii (Sumatran orangutan)
Lineage: Eukaryota; Metazoa; Chordata; Mammalia; Primates; Hominidae
Description: retained intron
Source: RNAcentral
AUAAUCCCAGCUCUGCCUUUAAUUCACUAACUCAUUAACAUAAUUAUUCUAUGUUGUAUUUAACUUCAUCUGACCAAAUGUUUAUUUUUGAUGAAUUCUUAUGUUUAUGUUUGCUUGGACUUAACCAAUCAGUAUUUAAAUAUGGAUGUUGUUGCAUUAUAACUUUUUCUGAAAUAGUAAGUUUCCUUUAUUUUCAUAUUAACUCAGAUUCGAGUGAGGGUUGAAAAGGAUCCAGAACUUGGAUUUAGCAUAUCAGGUGGUGUCGGGGGUAGAGGAAACCCAUUCAGACCUGAUGAUGAUGGUAUAUUUGUAACAAGGGUACAACCUGAAGGACCAGCAUCAAAAUUACUGCAGCCAGGUGAUAAAAUUAUUCAGGCUAAUGGCUACAGUUUUAUAAACAUUGAACAUGGACAAGCAGUGUCCUUGCUAAAAACUUUCCACAAUACAGUUGAACUCAUCAUUGUACGAGAAGUUUCCUCAUAAGCACUGUGGACAAAAAAAAAGCGGGGAAGACAGCAAGAUUUAUUGGAAGAUACUUGCAGGGGAAAUUAAUAUUUUGACUAUUUUUAUAUAUAAAGAAGAACUCAAAAAAUUAUGUUCAAAUUUGUACAUUAAUGAAGUAAUGGAACUUGUGGUUAGAGGGA